RNAcentral lists this ribosomal RNA (497 nucleotides) under uncultured bacterium. Its description in RNAcentral is "partial 16S ribosomal RNA". It matches the Rfam family "Bacterial small subunit ribosomal RNA", at positions 28 to 507 of the family's 1533-position model. The record is from RNAcentral.
GAUGAACGCUGGCGGCGUGCCUAAUACAUGCCAGUCGAGCGAACAGACGAGGAGCUUGCUCCUCUGACGUUAGCGGCGGACGGGUGAGUAACACGUGGAUAACCUACCUAUAAGACUGGGAUAACUUCGGGAAACCGGAGCUAAUACCGGAUAAUAUAUUGAACCGCAUGGUUCAAUAGUGAAAGACGGUUUUGCUGUCACUUAUAGAUGGAUCCGCGCCGCAUUAGCUAGUUGGUAAGGUAACGGCUUACCAAGGCAACGAUGCGUAGCCGACCUGAGAGGGUGAUCGGCCACACUGGAACUGAGACACGGUCCAGACUCCUACGGGAGGCAGCAGUAGGGAAUCUUCCGCAAUGGGCGAAAGCCUGACGGAGCAACGCCGCGUGAGUGAUGAAGGUCUCCGGAUCGUAAAACUCUGUUAUUAGGGAAGAACAAAUGUGUAAGUAACUAUGCACGUCUUGACGGUACCUAAUCAGAAAGCCACGGCUAACUACGUG